Molecule: long non-coding RNA, 70 nt
Filed under: Octodon degus (degu)
Lineage: Eukaryota; Metazoa; Chordata; Mammalia; Rodentia; Octodontidae
Description: H19 conserved region 2 (ENSODEG00000022330.1)
Rfam family: H19 conserved region 2
Source: RNAcentral
CAGCUUUCCCUUGUCCGACCAGCCACCACGUCCUGUAACCAAAAUUAACCGGGAUGAAUGUCUGGCUCCU